GAUCCUCUUCUAGAUUAUAAGUCAUAUAUUCUGGUCCAUAAUCUAUAGCAACUCUUACUCUGUUACUACUUCGAGUUUCUGUUUCGUCUUUUUUUUUGCUUUCAAUGCUUCUUUUCACAUGAACUUAAUUAAGUUCGCUGCCCCCACUAUUUCUCAGGAACUUGACUAGGUUCGCUGCCCCCACUAUUUCUCGAUUUAAAAAGGGAUUUAUUUUCAUAGAAGUCAACUUCAUUUGACUUUAUGAUCACUUUUGCGUUUAGG
This 261-nucleotide long non-coding RNA is filed under the name Cicer arietinum (chickpea). RNAcentral describes it as "long non-coding RNA (CARI_LNC000378)". Lineage: Eukaryota; Viridiplantae; Streptophyta; Magnoliopsida; Fabales; Fabaceae. The record is from RNAcentral.